RNAcentral lists this ribosomal RNA (629 nucleotides) under uncultured Syntrophomonas sp. Its description in RNAcentral is "bacterial SSU rRNA". It matches the Rfam family "Bacterial small subunit ribosomal RNA", at positions 8 to 526 of the family's 1533-position model. Lineage: Bacteria; Bacillati; Bacillota; Clostridia; Eubacteriales; Syntrophomonadaceae. The record is from RNAcentral.
AGGGUUUGAUCAUGGCUCAGGACGAACGCUGGCGGCGUGCUUAACACAUGCAAGUCGAACGGAUUUGUGAGGUGUGAGGUUAGAGGUUAGAAGUGGGAAUUAUAGUAGAAAUCGGCUUCGCCGAUUUCAUCAAAAGAUCUCACAUCCAACUUCUCACCUCUCACUUCUCAAAUUAGUGGCGGACGGGUGAGUAACGCGUGGGCAACCUACCCAUAAGAGGGGGAUAACAGUUGGAAACGACUGCUAAUACCGCAUAACCUAUUGAGGUUGCAUGACCUUAAUAGCAAAGGUGGCGAUUUUACAUUGCUAUCACUUAUGGAUGGGCCCGCGUCUGAUUAGCUAGUUGGUGGGGUAGUGGCCUACCAAGGCAACGAUCAGUAGCCGGCCUGAGAGGGUGGACGGCCACACUGGGACUGAGACACGGCCCAGACUCCUACGGGAGGCAGCAGUGGGGAAUAUUGCGCAAUGGGGGCAACCCUGACGCAGCGACGCCGCGUGAGCGAUGAAGGCUUUCGGGUUGUAAAGCUCUGUUCUAAGGGACGAAUGUCUCUGUUGUGAAUAAUGGCAGAGAGUGACGGUACCUUAGGAGAAAGCCCCGGCUAACUACGUGCCAGCCGCCGCGGUAAUUC